GUAGCUGUGGUUGAUGACUAAACUGUUGGAGUGGUGCUUGUGAUGAAGAGCUGCAGCUGAAGGCAGACAGAGACAGCGGUUCAAAGACAUUUUCAUGUACUUGCAUUCCCAGAACCGAUUAUACAGAACACACAGAGCGGACAAAAAACGGAAGAGGUAUUUGUCAGAAGAGAUUACCUGUUGCCAUGCAGUAGCCUGUAGGUGAUCCCUUGUUGUUGCCAUGGUGACUGCAGGCAGGCAGAGGCAGACAGCAGUGAGCAUUUUGGGAGACUCACAGAUUUAUACACUGGCCUGUUGUGGUAUUGUGAUGCUGUGGUAUUGUGAUGUGGUAAUGUGAUAUUGUGAUGCUGUGGUAUUGUGAUGCUGUGGUAUUGUGAUGCUGUGGUAUUGUGAUGUUGUGGUAAUGUGAGGUUGUGAGGCUGUGAUAUUGUUAUGCUGUAGUAUUGUGAUGUUGUGGUAGUUUGGUGUUGUGGUAUUGUGAUACUGUGGUACUAUGAUGCUGUGGUAGUGUGAUGUUGUGGUAUUGUGAUGUUGUGGUAUUGUGAUGUUGUGGUAUUGUGAUGUUGUGGUAUUGUGAUACUGUGGUACUAUGAUGCUGUGGUAGUUUGCUGUUGUAGUAUUGUGAUGUUGUGGUAUUGUGAUACUGUGGUACUAUGAUGCUGUGGUAGUUUGAUGCUGUGGUAUUGUGAUGCUGUGGUAGUGUGAUGCUGUGGUAUUGUGAUGUUGUGGUAAUGUGAGGUUGUGAGGCUGUGAUAUUGUUAUGCUGUGGUAUUGUGAUGCUGUGGUAGUUUGAUGUUGUGGUAUUGUGAUACUGUGGUACUAUGAUGCUGUGGUAUUGUGAUGCUGUGGUAGUUUGAUGCUGUGGUAUUGUGAUGCUGUGGUAGUGUGAUGCUGUGGUAUUGUGAUGUUGUGGUAUUGUGAUGUUGUGGUAUUGUGAUUCUGUGGUACUAUGAUGCUGUGGUAGUUUGAUGCUGUGGUAUUGUGAUGCUGUGGUAGUGUGAUGCUGUGGUAUUGUGAUGUGGUAAUGUGAGGUUGUGAGGCUGUGAUAUUGUUAUGCUGUGGUAUUGUGAUGCUGUGGUAGUUUGAUGUUGUGGUAUUGUGAUACUGUGGUACUAUGAUGCUGUGGUAUUGUGAUGCUGUGGUAGUUUGAUGCUGUGGUAUUGUGAUGCUGUGGUAUUGUGUUUUGGUAAUGUGAGGUUGUGAGGCUGUGAUAUUGUUAUGCUGUGGUAUUGUGAUGCUGUGGUAGUGUGAUGCUGUGGUAUUGUGAUGUUGUGGUAUUGUGAUGUUGUGGUAUUGUGAUACUGUGGUACUAUGAUGCUGUGGUAGUUUGAUGCUGUGGUAUUAUGAUGUGGUAAUGUGGUAUUGUGAUGCUGUGGUAUUGUGAUGCUGUGGUAGUGUGAUGCUGUGGUAUUGUGAUGUUGUGGUAUUGUGAUGUUGUGGUAUUGUGAUACUGUGGUACUAUGAUGCUGUGGUAGUUUGAUGCUGUGGUAUUGUGAUGCUGUGGUAGUGUGAUGCUGUGGUAUUGUGAUGUUGUGGUAAUGUGAGGUUGUGAGGCUGUGAUAUUGUUAUGCUGUGGUAUUGUGAUGCUGUGGUAGUUUGAUGUUGUGGUAUUGUGAUACUGUGGUACUAUGAUGCUGUGGUAUUGUGAUGCUGUGGUAGUUUGAUGUUGUGGUAUUGUGAUGCUGUGGUAUUGUGUUUUGGUAAUGUGAGGUUGUGAGGCUGUGAUAUUGUUAUGCUGUGGUAUUGUGAUGCUGUGGUAGUGUGAUGCUGUGGUAUUGUGAUGUUGUGGUAUUGUGAUGUUGUGGUAUUGUGAUACUGUGGUACUAUGAUGCUGUGGUAGUUUGAUGCUGUGGUAUUAUGAUGUGGUAAUGUGGUAUUGUGAUGCUGUGGUAGUGUGAUGCUGUGGUAGUGUGAUGCUGUGGUACUAUGAUGCUGUGGUAGUUUGAUGCUGUGGUAUUGUGAUGUGGUAAUGUGGUAUUGUGAUGCUGUGGUAUUGUGAUGUGGUAAUGUGGUAUUGUGAUGCUGUGGUAGUGUGAUGCUGUGGUAGUGUGAUGCUGUGGUAUUGUGAUGUUGUGGUAAUGUGAGGUUGUGAGGCUGUGAUAUUGUUAUGCUGUGGUAUUGUGAUGCUGUGGUAGUUUGAUGUUGUGGUAUUGUGAUACUGUGGUACUAUGAUGCUGUGGUAUAGUGAUGCUGUGGUAGUUUGAUGUGGUAUUGUGAUACUGUGGUACUAUGAUGCUGUGGUAUUGUGAUGCUGUGGUAUUGUGAUGCUGUGGUAGUGUGAUGCUGUGGUAUUGUGAUGCUGUGGUAUUGUGAUGCUGUGGUACUAUGGUGCUGUGGUUGUGGGGUAUUGUGAUGCUGUGAGGAUGUGAUGCUCUAUUACUGUGAUGCUGUGGUAUUGUGGUGCUGUGAUACUGUGUUGCUCAGGUACUGUAAUGCUUUAAUGCUGUGGUAAUGUAAUGCUGUGAUGCUGUGGUACUGUAAUGGUGUGGUAUGAUGAUGCUGUGGUAUUGUGGUGCUGUGAUACUGUGAUGCUGUGGAAAUGUGAUGCUGUGGAAAUGUAAUGCUGUGAUGCUGUAGCACUGUAAUGCUGCGGUAUUAUGAUGGUGUGGUACUGUGGUGCUCUGGUACUGUAUUGCUGUGGUACUGUAAGGCUGUGAUGCUGUGGUACUGUAAUGCUGUGGUACUGUGGUGCUCUGGUACUGUAUUGCUGUGGUAAGGCUGUGAUGCUGUGGUACUGUUAUGCUGUGAUGCUGUGGUACUGUAAUGCUGUGGUAUGAUUAUGCUGUGGUACUGUGGUGCUCUGGUACUGUAUUGCUGUGGUAAGGCUGUGAUGCUGUGGUACUGUUAUGCUGUGAUGCUGUGGUACUGUAAUGCUGUGGUAUGAUUAUGCUGUGGUACUGUGGUGCUCUGGUACUGUAUUGCUGUGGUAAGGCUGUGAUGCUGUGGUACUGUUAUGCUGUGAUGCUGUGGUACUGUAAUGCUGUGGUAUGAUCAUGCUGUGGUACUGUGGUGCUCUGGUACUGUAAUUCUGUGAUGCUGUGAAAUGAUGAUGCUGUGGUAUUUUAGUGCUCUGGUACUGUAUUGCUGUGGUACUGUAAGGCUGUGAUGCUGUGGUACUAUAAUGCUGUGGUAUGAUUAUGUUGUGGUACUUUAGUGCUCUGGUAUUGUAAUGCUGUGAUGCUGUGGAAUGAUGACGCUGUGGUACUGUGGUGCUCUGGUACUGUAAUGCUGUGAUGCUGUGGUACUAUAAUGCUGUGGUAUGAUAAUUAUGUGGUACUGUGGUACUAUGGUGCUCUAGCAGUUAAAUGCUGUGAUGCUGUGGUACAGUAAUGCUGUGGUAUGGUGAAGCUGUGGUACUGCGAUGCUGUGGCAUGAUGAUGCUUUGGUACUGUGGUGCUGUGGUUCUGUGGUGCUCUGGCAGUUAAAUGCUGUGAUGCUGUGGUACAGUAAUGCUGUGGUAUGGUGAAGCUGUGGUACUGCGAUGCUGUGGCAUGAUGAUGCUUUGGUUCUGUGGUGCUCUGGCAGUUAAAUGCUGUAAUGCUGUGGUACAGUAAUGCUGUGGGAUGGUGAUG
Astyanax mexicanus (Mexican tetra) is the source of this 3572-nucleotide long non-coding RNA. RefSeq lists it as uncharacterized. The record is from RefSeq and is a predicted model, not a curated record. The transcript has 2 exons. NCBI's taxonomy places the organism in Eukaryota, Metazoa, Chordata, Actinopteri, Characiformes, Acestrorhamphidae.